CCUACGGGCGGCAGCAGUGGGGGAUAUUGCACAAUGGGGGGAACCCUGAUGCAGCGACGCCGCGUGGGUGAAGGAGUGCUUCGGCAUGUAAAGCCCUAUCGGCAGGGAAGAAGCAAGACGGUACCUGACUAAGAAGCCCCGGCUAACUACGUGCCAGCAGCCGCGGUAAUACGGAGGGGGCGAGCGUUAUCCGGAUUCACUGGGUGUAAAGGGAGCGUAGACGGCCAUGCAAGCCAGGGGUGAAAGCCCGGGGCCCAACCCCGGGACUGCCCUUGGAACUGUGCGGCUAGAGUGCGGGAGGGGCAGGCGGAAUGCCUGGUGUAGCGGUGAAAUGCGUAGAUAUCAGGAGGAACACCGGCGGCGAAGGCGGCCUGCUGGACUGCGACUGACGUUGAGGCUCGAAAGCGUGGGGAGCGAACAGGAUUAGAUACCCGAGUAGUC
Molecule: ribosomal RNA, 441 nt
Filed under: uncultured bacterium
Lineage: Bacteria
Description: partial 16S ribosomal RNA
Rfam family: Bacterial small subunit ribosomal RNA
Source: RNAcentral